GAUGAACGCUGGCGGCGUGGCUAAUACAUGCAAGUCGAGCGAACAGACGAGGAGCUUGCUCCUCUGACGUUAGCGGCGGACGGGUGAGUAACACGUGGAUAACCUACCUAUAAGACUGGGAUAACUUCGGGAAACCGGAGCUAAUACCGGAUAAUAUAUUGAACCGCAUGGUUCAAUAGUGAAAGACGGUUUUGCUGUCACUUAUAGAUGGAUCCGCGCCGCAUUAGCUAGUUGGUAAGGUAACGGCUUACCAAGGCAACGAUGCGUAGCCGACCUGAGAGGGUGAUCGGCCACACUGGAACUGAGACACGGUCCAGACUCCUACGGGAGGCAGCAGUAGGGAAUCUUCCGCAAUGGGCGAAAGCUUGACGGAGCAACGCCGCGUGAGUGAUGAAGGUCUUCGGAUCGUAAAACUCUGUUAUUAGGGAAGAACAAAUGUGUAAGUAACUAUGCACGUCUUGACGGUACCUAAUCAGAAAGCCACGGCUAACUACGUG
RNAcentral lists this ribosomal RNA (497 nucleotides) under uncultured bacterium. RNAcentral's name for it is "partial 16S ribosomal RNA". It matches the Rfam family "Bacterial small subunit ribosomal RNA", at positions 28 to 507 of the family's 1533-position model. The record is from RNAcentral.